Long non-coding RNA from Hyla sarda, 465 nucleotides. RefSeq lists it as uncharacterized. The transcript has 2 exons. The record is from RefSeq and is a predicted model, not a curated record. Lineage: Eukaryota; Metazoa; Chordata; Amphibia; Anura; Hylidae.
UGCUCCUGCUCAUUCUUCAUCAGUGAGGGGCUGAUGCUGGACACUGUAGGGACCGAGAAUGCAAAGUCACAUACACUACUGUGACUGAUAAUCCAUCUUUUGUUUUCCUAUCUUAGAUGCACUAUUUCCAGGAUGUGGAGUAGCAUUUCCGGACCUACAGCAAGACGUUGGAUGAAGACGGAGAUUUCCAGACCUAUUCCAGAAGAAUUUGGAUGAAGGCACAGCCCCUCGAAUCACGCACAUACACAGACACAUUUGCCCAAAUUCUAGAGGUAACCUCCUUUAGUAUGCCCAGAGGAAGGGCAAUACAGUAGCCAUGGAUUCCCUACAGGUUUCCUCCCCUCUGGAGGUUUUUCCUGUCCUGAGUAUUAGUUACUGUACGCUCUUUGUGAGUGAUGGAGGUUACAAAAAAUCCCUACACAAACAUUUUUAUAUAUAAUAAAUAAAGUUCCCCUUUUUAAACCA